This 507-nucleotide ribosomal RNA is filed under the name uncultured bacterium. Its description in RNAcentral is "partial 16S ribosomal RNA". The record is from RNAcentral.
GGAGUUAGCCGGUGCUUCUUCUGUGAGUGAUGUCCUUCCUGCCGGUUAUUGACCCGCAGGCCUUCUUCCUCACUGAAAGUGCUUUACAACCCGAAGGCCUUCUUCACACACGCGGCAUGGCUGGAUCAGGGUUGCCCCCAUUGUCCAAUAUUCCCCACUGCUGCCUCCCGUAGGAGUCUGGGCCGUGUCUCAGUCCCAGUGUGGCUGAUCAUCCUCUCAGACCAGCUACGGAUCGUCGCCUUGGUGAGCCGUUACCUCACCAACCAGCUAAUCCGACAUAGGCUCAUCCGAUAGCGCGAGGCCCGAAGGUCCCCCGCUUUCCCCCGUAGUGCGUAUGCGGUAUUAGCCUGGGUUUCCCCAGGUUAUCCCCCACUACCGGGCAGAUUCCUAUGCAUUACUCACCCGUCCGCCGCUCGCCACCAGGGAGCAAGCUCCCCGUGCUGCCGCUCGACUUGCAUGUGUUAGGCCUGCCGCCAGCGUUCAAUCUGAGCCAGGAUCAAACUCUGA